Cynoglossus semilaevis (tongue sole) is the source of this 3037-nucleotide RNA transcript. RefSeq lists it as uncharacterized. NCBI's taxonomy places the organism in Eukaryota, Metazoa, Chordata, Actinopteri, Pleuronectiformes, Cynoglossidae. The record is from RefSeq and is a predicted model, not a curated record. The transcript has 7 exons.
CUUGUUAUUGAAGUGUUUUUUAUGUUAUUGACACUGAAAAUGUAUGACCACUUUUUAGUUUAGUUUUGUGGCCAGUAUCGUCCAUCAUAAAAGCAUUCGCAAAUCUAGCAGCCACGCGCAGCAUGCAACCUCUAAGUUUGUCCCAGAAGAGCUGCCGUGUUUAGCCGUCCAAGAUGGCGCAAACGGCAGCGACACUGAUUGGCUAGAUUGGCUUGCUCGCUUUUAAAAGCCACAGGUGGUAGCAAGUUGUUCCUAAUUGGCGUUUCAGCGUGGUCCACAUGAACGGCUCGGGAAGAAUUAUUGAACAUCAUGAAGAGUGGAGCUUUGGCCCAGAGGCAAUGUCUCUGUCAUUGGUGUGGAACCCCUGGGCAAGUUCGAAUCCAGGUUAGGCGGGUUGGAACCUUCCAGUGGACCCACCACCCGCAGGAAGGUUUAGGGGGGUUGGUACGGUGCAAUGUGCUUUGGAUGGCGACUGCUGCCCCUGCGACCCGGUAACGGAUAAGCGGAUGAAGAUGGAUGGACAUCAUGAAGAUCUUCAAUGGUAGGAGUGUUUUUUUUCUUCUCUCCCUUCUUCCCUUUUUCUUCGAGUCGUUCACCCAGGCUACUGUGCCACUUCCUUCUCUUACCUGGCUGCCAUGCCACUGCUGUCCCCUAUGUGGUUGCCGUGCCACUUCCUCUGUCCUCUACCCUGGCUGCCGUGCCACUUCUGUCUUCUACCCUGGCUGCUGUGCCACUUCUGUCCCCUAUGUGGCUGGCAUGCCACUACUGUCACCCAUGUGGCUGCCGUGCCACUUCCUGUCCUCUACCCUGGCUGCCGUGCCACUCCUGUCCCCUAUGUGGCUGCCAUGCCACUACUGUCACCCAUGUGGCUGCCGUGCCACUUCCUGUCCUCUACCCGGGCUGCCGUGCCACUAAUGUUUCCCUUCCUGGCUGCCGUGCCACUUCUGUCUUCUACCCUGGCUGCCGUGCCACUUAUGUUUCCCUUCCUGGCUGCCGUGCCACUUCCGUCCUCUACCUGUUUACUUUGGCUGCCAUGCCACUACUGUCCCCUAUGUGGCUGCCACGCCACUACUGUCCCCUAUGUGGCUGCCCUGCCACUACUGUCCCCAUGUGGCUGCCGUGCCACUUCCUGUCCUCUACCCGGGCUGCCGUGCCACUAAUGUUUCCCUUCCUGGCUGCCGUGCCACUUCCGUCCUCUCCCUGUUUACUUUGGCUGCCAUGCCCCUACUGUCCCCUAUGUGGCUGCCCUGCCACUACUGUCCCCAUGUGGCUGCCGUCCCACUUUCUCUGUCCUCUACCCUGGCUGCCGUGCCACUCCUGUCCCCUAUGUGGCUGCCAUGCCACUUCUUCUGUCCUCUACCCUGGCUUCCGUUCCGCUUAUGUUUCUCUUCCUGGCUGCCGUGCCACUUCCGACCUCUACCUGUUUACCUUGGCUGCCAUGCCGCUUCUGUCCCCUACGUGGCUGCCGUGCCAUUUCGCUCCCACUUCCUGGCUGCCGUGCCAUUUCGGUCCCACUUCCUGGCUGCCGUGCCACUUUCUCUUACCUGGCUGCCGUGCCACUUUGGUCCCCUAUGUGGCUGCCAUGCCACUUCUUCUGUCCUCUACCCUGGCUGCUGUGCCGCUUCUGUCCCCCUUCCUGGCUGCCGUGACGCUUCUAUCUUUGCUGCCGUGCUACAUCUGUUCUCUAACUAAGAUCAGUCAAUUAAACAGGUGAGACUCAUCAUGUUUCCUGCCACAGAUGGGUCUGUUCUGGACCCAUACAAGCUCUGGAAAUUUGGCAUAGUUGACUGUAGGGUGAAGGUGGUCCAGGGGAACCAACUUCAUCGUGGAAAGAUCUUCUCAGCCAAAGGUUGUCUUCAGGAUUCUGUGGACCAGAGUUGAGCAAGUAGGGAGAAGAUCUGGACCUGGUAGAUCAGCCCGGACCUGAGGGUUCACAUUAGAUGACACAUCUCAGGACAAUUGUUUGAGUUAUCUACUGUCCACACUGCAGGGAUGGACACCGAUGUUGACCUGACUGUGUCGAGCUUGACAUAUGUACAGUGCAACUAACGUGAAAGGCAGAAGCGCACUCACCAUAAAGGGCACCAUUUAAGUCAGAUUUGGAGAAGCAACAUCCUGAACAAGUCAUCACUGCAGCCAAGAUAACCCAGACCUGCCUUCUUUCCUACUGGGAACCUCCUUCUGAGGUACUCGACCCAGGCCCAUCACAGCUAAGGAGGAGACAGGAGUCUGCUCUGCUUUUUUUUUUUUCUCCUCCCCAUAAAGUUGACCGUUUACAAAUCAACAUGACUUUUCAUGGAUAUUUAAAUAAUUGGUCUUUAGUCACUGAUGAUUUAAUCUAAACACUUGAUACCUGAUUUGCUUUGCUUUAGUUUACGAUCAGUCAGAGUUUAAUGAGCUGGAUUUCCUUCACACUAUUAACACUACUGUCCUUCACUUCUGUCCUCACCCUUCUUCUUAAAUAUCCAGUCAUGAAUUUUUACUGAGUGUUGUACCAUGGAUGCCUUCAACAAAAUCAGACAUGGAUCCAUCUGCUUUUGUGACCUGGUCUAUUCAUGGUGCAACAUUAUCCUUUAUAUAUUCUACCAAGCAGGCAAUGUAAAGUUAGAACAAAUGAUUUUUUUUUUUUUUUUUUAGUGCUUCAUCAGUGGUUUUUGGCCAAGUCAAACACUAUACAUGAAAAGUCAUGGUGAUUCAGUUGGUGGUUGCCUUGUUUGUUGUUUUAGUUUGGUGUGGAGGUCCAUGAUUGUCCUUUUUUGGGUUGUUUUUUUAUAUGUAUAGGCUUAUUUUUGCUUUUUUCUUUAUAUAAGGUUAGAAGGAAUCUCCAGGGUGACAACCAACUGCAUAGUUGACCCUGGUGUCUUUUCUUUAACUGUUUGUCUGCAACCUUUUUAAGGUAAAAUUUCAAAAAUAAACUACAUUUAAAGUUAACACGAUUGCGCUGUCUUACCUUCUUGUAUAACGUAAAUCCAAGGAAUUCAAAAUGUUAACCUGUGUUCUUCAUUAAACUAAAUACUGAGACACUGACCUUGGUGUU